Cygnus olor (mute swan) is the source of this 7189-nucleotide long non-coding RNA. RefSeq lists it as uncharacterized. The record is from RefSeq and is a predicted model, not a curated record. Lineage: Eukaryota; Metazoa; Chordata; Aves; Anseriformes; Anatidae. The transcript is spliced from 4 exons.
UAAGAUUGAAAUAUCACAGCUUACCCUCAAAAAGGAGUGGCAUGCAGCUGUAUCCUUUGGAGAGCUGCUAUUCCUUUUCUUGUUUUCUUUACUGCUCCAGGCAUACAAAGAUUUUAAUACUUCUCCUUUAUCUAGCACAGUUAAUUUCCCCGCCCUAUACCAGCUGAACUUCUCCAGCAGGUAUGUUUGGGGGAUUGUGGACCCAAGCUUUCAUCUGCUCCCAAGUCUUCUGCGAACAAAAUUGAGCAUUUGUGAUCCCACAGAACUGUCUCCUGGUCCAGCUGCUGCUCCGGUAGGCAGGGGAGAGGCGACGCAGUGUCCAUACGCUCACAUCUACAAGUGCAGCUCCGUUGGGUGGUGACCUAGUGGUUCCCCCAGCACAGGCCAGCUUACACUGGUGGCCAUCCAAGGAGGAGACUCCUGAACACGUGCAGAUGGAUUGCACGGUGAAUAAGAAUUUGGGAAACACUGUUUUUUGCACUUAGUAAAUCAUACAGGAGCAACCUGAUUUACGAGAGCUUUGCUGCCUUCAGGUCUGUGCUCCCAAUAAAUCACAGCUCUGCCCAGUGUCAAAAUUCAGAGACUAUCAACUGUCUGACAUGCACAGUUAAAUCCUGAUUGAACAAAACAUAUGCUUGGAAAUGAGAGGCCAGCUUUGAAGUCUGACCUAUGAAUUCUUUGAAUCAAAAGGAGAUUAUGGCAUAUUGUGCUCUUAACACAAUUGCUGAGCAAUUACAGUAGUAAGUUAGUAAUAAGCUUUCUAUGUGCUAUCUUUUAAGGUGAAGAGGAGGGAUUAGGUUCAGGUAUAUAGAAAGAGACAGCAAAUCUAAAAUCCAUGUAGACCAGAAAAUCUAACCUCUAUUAUCCUUUGUAUCUAGUCUAGCUCUUUGCAAUAGUUUUUGACUUCAGAAAUUGAUUGUGAGGAUAUCUAUAUCCCCUAGAUAUUUUUAUUACUAGAAUAAAGUCUACCUGAAACUACUGCUUGGAUCCAUAGAUAAGUGGUGCAGUGGCCUUCCAUUAUUAUUGGUUUUUUUUCGAUACUUAUGUCUUAUUCCACUGUAAUUGUUAGGAUUCUUCUCCUUUUAGUUUCUUUUCCCUGAAACACUGUGGUCAGAUUUCCCAGAUCUUGCAUUCUUUGUUGACCAGAAAUUUCUAAAGGCUGAAAUAGAAACAAAGGAAAAUGCUAGGCAAGGGGCUUUGUGACCAUAAGCCAUAAAAGCACUUCAUCAGACAGAAAGUCUCACUUCCUAUUUCAGUCUCCAUUUUUCGGGCACGUAUUCCAGGUCAGAACCUUUGGCGCAUAUAGGAUAAUAACUAGGAUAAUAAUAAGAUAAACAUUUGCCUUUUUUUUUUGCCAGUGUACUGUGAAAAGAUUGAGGGAAACAGUUAUGUUUCUAUACAUAUAUGGUUCAAAUCUAAAUGAUUAAACUGUUUUUUAGCUGAGGGAAAAUAGUGUAGUUUAGUAACUUUGCUUGUUGCAUAGAGAGAAACAGUUAUGCUUCUCAACAGACUGAAACAGUCUCACUAUUAAAUAGAUUUCUGAUGAUUUCAAGCUACUUUUUCAUGUUUCCAUUUUCACACAUUUUUUUCCUCUCUCAUAGUCACUUUAUCCUCUCUUUAACAAAUUCCUGCUUGAGAAAAAUAGAAUGGAAGAAAAGUAACCAAAAUCACCCUAAGUAAGAAUUGCACAUGGUAUUUUCAGUGACAUCUUAGAGCUACAUCAUUGCCAUCAGACACAUGAUGGACAGCAGGGAAUGCAAAACCCUGCUCCUCAGUGGGGAGAAAGCAGUGCUUACCAAGCAUGGCUGGUCCUCUUUUAGCAUCUUUUAGUGGUUGCUCUAUAGCCUAAUCCACUGCUCUUUGCAAUGGAAAGGCAGCAGGCUGGCAGCAAGCUUUGGGCAUUCUGCUUCUUUGUUAUUCCGCACCACUGUGUUGGAUCUGCCAUCUGAUCUUCCUUUUAGUAGCACGCGUGAGAGGCCAGUAACACCAUUGACAAUGUCCUAGGUAAAGCUAAACGUGUCCUGUUCUCAGAUGGUUGCAAAAUUCCCAAGUUGAACCUCCACUGUAAUUGAGCUGAGAUACUCAUUUAUUGUAAAAUUACUUUCAUGUAUGCUAACUUAAUGAGCUAGGUAUUGCCAGUGCUAUAAAUAGGUCUGAAUGUAGAUAAGGCCUGUGGAAUGAACAAAAUGGCUCAUUCCCACAAAAACGUCAUCUGUUGUCAAAAAUAUCUGAUAUGUAACAUCUCUCUAGCUCUCUUUCUUGUGGAGUAAGAGCAGACCUGCUUAACGUGCUCCUGAGGUAGGGGCUCUAGUGAGGGAUUGCAAUGUCUUGUGUAGAGAGGAUGCGGAUGUAAGACUUCUGAAAACAGGUACAAAGUUGCAUUGAUUUUAAAAUAUUAAGGUAAAUACGUGACGUGAAAAAUUUAAUCCAAAUGAUUAAAGUUUAGCAAGAUCAAAGCAUCUCAAAAGAGGGUGUCAUUACAGGAAAUGUUAGGUAACAGAUGAAACUCUCAGCCCUGCUAGUAAUCAUCACGUUAAGAUGGAUCAACACCUUAACAAGAUCCUGUAUUAUUCUGUCUUUGAAAAGCUGGCAGCUUAUUUUGAAAACAAAAAGGCCUGUACAGCAAGUGUUGGAAUGAACCUUGCAGCGAUCCACAUAUUACUCAAACGUGACCGCGUGCUUUCUGCUUUGUUUCUCAGCAAACCCCUCUGAAAAGGUCGUGCGUGUAUUUUACUUCACUGCAUGUCUGUGACCUUUCUCACUGAUGUCGAGCUUGCACAGAGGAAAGCAAGCCACGGUCUUGACUUCUGUUUCUUUGUUACUUUCUGGUUUUGGUCUGUUAAACCCUGUGUCUCGCGUGUCUGUCUCAGCUACCAGUUGCCUUCUGACAGACACAGAAAUCACGAGGCUAAUCUUUAUUCCAGUUCGUGCAGCUGUCACUUGUGCCCUCUGAGGCAGCCAACCUGGGCCUUCCAGCAGAAGACAACUUUUGCUGCCCUACCUCAAGGAAGCAGCUAGAAGAAAAUGAUGGCAGAACACCUUACUCUAAAUCAACAGCAGCUGUAAUGUGGUGUAAGCUUAGAGGGUUUUGCUUUGCCCCAAGCACGAGAGGUCUUUAAGGACUGGAGGAAGAAAAGUUGCUCUUCAUCUGUCUGUCAGCAGCACCGGGAUAACUCAAGCACAGGUCAGAGCCCCGUGGUGCUGGAUGCUGUUGACAAGACAACCCCCAUGUUAGGAGAUAAGAGGAUGCUGUGUGGAGUUAGCAGAUGGUGGGAUCAGUUUGAGGAGUAGAUACAUUUACAGAGUUUUGCAGAAAAAAAUAAAAUCCUACUUUCCUAAGGAAAGAGUGACUUGUUGGCUUCAUGGCAGGAGUGCCUUUGACAGCAAGAUGUCUGCUUUAUACCUUUGGACAGAUUUCUUUCCACAGGAAGAGCACUCUUUCUGGAAUGUCAAAUGCACAUGCUUGGUUAUCAUGCGGUAGAUUGUUCCCAUGCUUUCUUGUCACGACGGUGCUGGGCUAAGAAAGCUGCAGAUCAAAAGCUUUGCAGAGCGGUACGGCUAAAUUGUUUCUUCUUUCAUCAUCCAUUUAAAAAAAAGUAAUGGAAGAUGAGAAGCUGCCCACUUCAGGUUUGUAUGCGAAUAAUUAUAGGACAAGGCAACAGCAAGGUGCUUUCUGAAAGAUGAGUAAAUGGUUGGGCCUCUUCAGGAAAUCUGUGGUAAGCAGGUCAUUCAAAAAUAACUUUCUGAGGCUAUGGGAAGUGGGUGAAAUGAAGUUAAAAAAGAGCUACUGAAGAGAGGAAAAUGCUGAUGAAAGAGAGUGUUUUAUCUGAUAUCAGAAACUGUUGGUUUUCAUUCUGAUCCUGUUGUUUUUUUUCUUUAGGUAGCUUUUAGAGUGCCCUUAAGUUAUCUCAAAAGGUUAUUAAUUUUCCACUGGCAUCAGAAAGGCUGAAAUGAUAUUUGCAAUGAAAGGCGGCCUGCAGUGGCUCUGUCAGUUGGACCAGAACAGCGCCACGGUAUGUGCCCCACAAGGGGCAUACAUGUGGAAAAGCUAAGCUGUCCAGAAUGAAUGCCAGCUCUGAAGAGCUCUGGACAAGGUCUGAAGUAGACUGAAGCAGUGAAUGCUAAUCCAGAACUGAGACCUGCCAUGAACAGGGGAUUGCUUCAGUCACUAUGGGAGGACUGCAGCAGCCACGUGGUGAUGCUGAGUGAACCUUCCUAGCAAUCAGAAAACUCACACUGGUUCGUGCUCCUGGGGAAGUAAUGUCAUCUCGGUAAUGUCUAAGACAUCGAAGCCUAUUCCUGGUGAAAGCUGGUGUGGAAAUCAGUAAUGAAGACCACAACAGGUAGUCAUGUGCGGAGCCAGAAGUUGGACUUGAUUACCCUUGUGGGUCCCUCCCAGGUCAGGAUAUUCUAUGAUUCUAUGAAUAACAGCUGCAAUAUAAGGCAUGCUGUCAUCUAUACAAAAUCUACUUCAUUCCAGUUUAUCUGGAAGCAAAAGCAUCAGUAAAAGGGCAGUGAUAGGGACUGAAAGCCAUAUGCUGAAAGCCAGGCUGUUUCCUAGGGUCCUUUUGAAGGUUUUAUUGCUGGUUGGAAAUAGAUCAUAAGGUCUAUAACACUUGUCAUCACUACUUUAUCCUUGUUUUGUGAUUUUCUUCAUGUGUAGAGAGAACCAUUUGCAAUUUAAAUUGGUGCUAGAUAUUGUCAAUAUAAAAAAAAUAAAAAUGGGCAUGCUACAUGGACGAAAGAGCUCUUAGAAGAUGGACAAAUCAGCACAGGGGACGAAAGGAUAAUACCAGCAAAGUAUGUGUAUGUACACACACCCCUAUAGACAGUUAUAUCUCAACUGUACAGAAGUGUUCCCUGCCUCACCAUUGGUUACUAACUUGCUGUUUUCUUUCCAGAAAGAAAAUCCUUGACAGAAUUUAAGCGAUGAGUAAUGACUCCAUUUUCUUCCCUCCUAGCUACCAGGCAGGCACAUACAUGGGUCCCCCAUUGGCCCACAAAAUGUGAACAUUUUAACCUUUUCUUGUUGUCCUGCGCCUGCCCUGUCACUUGGUGCUUUUGCAGCGUUUUCCCCCUUUAGCCAGGUCUACUUCUCUCAGUAAGCAGGGCAACUGUAUUUACAAGAAGCAAGAAAACACUUCACUGAUAACAGCAGCAUGUGUCUGGGGAAAAUGUCAGCGCUUCAACCAGAGUCUUGCUAUUCCCUCGGCGUUGUCAUUGCUGGAUCCUCUGCCCUUCCUUACAAGUGGGUUUGAGGAGGUGGUUGUUUUGGCUGGAAUUAGAGAGGCACAGGUGGUAUCACCAGCUGUAAAUUGGAGGAGGCACUUCCUGAUUAUGACCACUGCCUACAUGUAAAUCACUGCCAAGAGAGGAGCUGGGAAGCAUAGAAGCCUUCUCCUUACUUGGAAAGAGGGCCUGGAGUGUAAUCAGAACUCCCCUCUUCUGCAGCUUUUUCACCUGUGGGCUUCAGGGUUCUUUGUGAGCGCUUGGCUUCCCAAAUGCUGUGACAUGGAAAAUCCUUAUCCGUGUUUGACAGAAGGAUAGACUGAGGCAUUGAGCAUUUAAGCUCAUGCACUUACCAUUUGGGUACUCAAGUCCCUAUAAAGCACUAGGAGCUCAGGAGACACAAGUACAGGGUGCACUGGGGAGUCAGGACGUAGAUUCAGGUGUCUGCUCAACCACGCCGAAACAUCCCCUACGAGUGGUGAAUAACCCCUGGAUCUCUGUCAGGUCAAGAUUUUGCCCUCUGGCUUUCCAUGUUUGUGGCGAGAGGCUUGUCCAAAGCUGCAGUGAGCGCUAACCUGGGGUCUCUGGCAAGGAGUUUGGGUGCUGGUUUUGGAGGGCACUGCUGCACAGGUUGGCAGAGUGCUGCUCUCAGGUGCCAGCACACCCAGCCAGGUGUACUUAUGUGCUUUCAUUGCCAGGUUGAGUAUUUUUUUAUUUUUUUUUUUAAUUACUGUCUGGUGCUCACUUCUCUACCUAAUCACCUGUACAUAAUGAAGGCCUCUGCUGCUGGCCCUGACUUGCUUUGUCUGCAGGAAAUUUGGGGUGCCAUGUCUCCUCAUCUGCCUCCUGCUGAAAACUGAUUCUUUGGGGUGAUCGCUCAGCCCGUUGUGGGCUCAUGGUCUUGGUUUUGGGGUACUUUUUCCCUUUUAACCCAUUGUGUCCUAAAUGUGGGUCCACUGCAUGUACAGAUGGAGAACAGCAAAUGAGGGAGAGGUGUUGCAGAACCAACCCACCAAUGUGUGCCGCUCACCCACACACAUGGGGAGAGGGAAAGAUUAAAAGAUUAAAGUUACAAACUAAAAACCGCCCCAGGCUACCGCUGAGAUCUGAGUGACUGCCUGCGAAGCCAAACUCCCACUCUGGAGGUGCCGCGCCACGCUCGCUGUCACUCACUCCACACUUGCUUUCUCCUGCCAUCCCUUCCUGCCGCUGGCUUCGCUAUUUUUACAGACCCCAAAAUUAAAUAAUAAUUUAGUUUGGCUACAAAGAAGGGUCCUGAGCAACUCCUGGGCAUCGCCUGGGGGCUCAUGGGGGUAGUUUUCCACCCCUCAUUGCACUCCUGGACUUCUGGACCCUGGAGACUCCUCUGGCAGCCUUCUCCUGUGCCUCAUUUGCCCACAUCGCAACCAGUUUCGGUUCAGUUGCGGCCCAGGACUGGCGUGGGAGGGACGGCAAUUUGCAGCCGUUAGAAUUUCGGUAACAGUGUGGGGAAGUUUGUAAGGUCUUUAAUGCUUUCCCUUCCCUCCAGAGAGAUGUCAUGCAAGCCUUAUCCUAUCAAGCUUACAAUGAAGUAUGCCUACAAUUUUAUAUUCCUUCCUGCCAUUUGUUAGUGUUUUCUCACAUUUUUUUCCAUAUCUUCACUAGGAAUGGAUGAAGCAUGGCCAUUUUGGUUUUAUGGCUGAACGGCACAGAAGUAAAACUGAGGCCUGGGCUCUCCAAAACAGAUAUUAGUGUUGCACCUGUGUUGACAGCACAUCAAAGAGUCAGACUGUGCUGGCGAGGUCUGUGCUCUGAGCAGGGAAGGAUCCGUUCCUGCAGAGAUGCUCCCUGCUCUCAGCUCCACAAAGAGCCCUCUGUGGCAGGAACACUUAAGGAGCCAUGUCUAAGGAGACUCCUUCAGGAGUGGCAGAAUAUGCCUGCCUGGGGACCUGCGCAUACUGUGAAUAAACCCAUUUCUCAC